Molecule: ribosomal RNA, 736 nt
Filed under: uncultured bacterium
Lineage: Bacteria
Description: bacterial SSU rRNA
Rfam family: Bacterial small subunit ribosomal RNA
Source: RNAcentral
GGGACAACAGACGGAAACGACUGCUAAUACCGAAUAAGUUCCAAGAGCCACAUGGCCCAUGGAAGAAAAGGUGGCCUCUACCUGUAAGCUAUCGCCUGAAGAGGGGUUUGCGUCUGAUUAGCUGGUUGGAGGGGUAACGGCCCACCAAGGCGACGAUCAGUAGCCGGUCUGAGAGGAUGAACGGCCACACUGGAACUGAGACACGGUCCAGACUCCUACGGGAGGCAGCAGUGGGGAAUCUUCCGCAAUGGGCGAAAGCCUGACGGAGCAACGCCGCGUGAGUGAUGACGGCCUUCGGGUUGUAAAACUCUGUGAUCCGGGACGAAAAGGCAGAGUGCGAAGAACAAACUGCAUUGACGGUACCGGAAAAGCAAGCCACGGCUAACUACGUGCCAGCAGCCGCGGUAAUACGUAGGUGGCAAGCGUUGUCCGGAAUUAUUGGGCGUAAAGCGCGCGCAGGCGGCUUCCCAAGUCCCUCUUAAAAGUGCGGGGCUUAACCCCGUGAUGGGAAGGAAACUGGGAAGCUGGAGUAUCGGAGAGGAAAGUGGAAUUCCUAGUGUAGCGGUGAAAUGCGUAGAGAUUAGGAAGAACACCGGUGGCGAAGGCGACUUUCUGGACGAAAACUGACGCUGAGGCGCGAAAGCGUGGGGAGCAAACAGGAUUAGAUACCCUGGUAGUCCACGCCGUAAACGAUGGAUACUAGGUGUAGGAGGUAUCGACCCCUCCUGUGCCGGAG